UACAGAGGGUGCAAGCGUUAAUCGGAUUUACUGGGCGUAAAGCGCGCGUAGGUGGCCAAUUAAGUCAAAUGUGAAAUCCCCGAGCUUAACUUGGGAAUUGCAUUCGAUACUGGUUGGCUAGAGUAUGGGAGGGGAUGGUAGAAUUCCAGGUGUAGCGGUGAAAUGCGUAGAGAUCUGGAGGAAUACCGAUGGCGAAGGCAGCCAUCUGGCCUAAUACUGACACUGAGGUGCGAAAGCAUGGGGAGCAAACAGG
RNAcentral lists this ribosomal RNA (253 nucleotides) under uncultured bacterium. RNAcentral describes it as "partial 16S ribosomal RNA". It matches the Rfam family "Bacterial small subunit ribosomal RNA", at positions 524 to 776 of the family's 1533-position model. The record is from RNAcentral.